This 60-nucleotide transfer RNA is filed under the name Scolopendra dehaani. RNAcentral's name for it is "tRNA-Trp". The record is from RNAcentral. Lineage: Eukaryota; Metazoa; Arthropoda; Chilopoda; Scolopendromorpha; Scolopendridae.
AACCCUUUAAGUUACACUAAACUAUUGGCCUUCAAAGCCUAAAUUACACCUUUAAACUUG